Long non-coding RNA from Camelus dromedarius (Arabian camel), 506 nucleotides. RefSeq lists it as uncharacterized. Lineage: Eukaryota; Metazoa; Chordata; Mammalia; Artiodactyla; Camelidae. The record is from RefSeq and is a predicted model, not a curated record. The transcript is spliced from 3 exons.
UUUCACUUCCUCCUGAAGAACUCCCUUUAGCAUCUCCUGUGAGGCAAAGUCAGUGGUGAUGAACUUCUUCAGCUUUUGUUUAUCUGGAAAACUCUUUAUCUCUCCUUCAAUUCUGAAGGACAGCUUUGUGAGCUCUAUGAUUGCUGUUUUGUACUUUGCUCAUGGAUUGCUUUCCUGAACCAGUGAGCAUCUUUAUGAGGGUUUUUUUGAACUCUCUAUCAGGAAAGUUGAAAAGAGGCCACAGAAUUUCCUGAAAACGUCUCCAGCAGAGUAACUAACUUGACCAGUCUGACCCGAGAGACACGGCAGGAAGACUCCCACCACACGGCUGCUGUCAGCUGCUGGAGCACCUGGGCCCAGAGCUCCGGACAGAGAGGAUUCUCCAAACUGGAGGUCAUGCCACUCUGCCUCAAAGCAGUGUGCAUUUUAAAUCUGACUGUCACAGAGAACUUAAGAGAUGGUCCCUCUUCCCAAAAUUCUGAAAUAAAAUAAUGGCGUUGGUCAGA